UUUUUUUUUUAAAAUACAUUGGCAUAGAAUGUUGAAUUAUAAUAUUCAAUCAGGCCCUGUUGUUAAGGAUUUCGAGGGGUCUGGAGCGGGGGUUUUUCGUAGGUUACGUUCAUUUCCCACAUAUGAAUGGGCCUUGAUUAUUUGCCACCAACCAGGUCAGGCCCUGUAAAAAUGACAGGUGUGUGACAAGAUUUCGUGAUGGGAUUUUUUUUACAAGUUUGGUCAGCUUGUGAAUUGUGACUUGUGAGCAUUGCCCUCUACUCUAGUCGAAAGGGUUGUGGUGGGGCAGCCAGGCUUGAGCUGCACACUUUUGACGAAGCCCACUUGAGACUACUAACAGGAUGCCUGAUAUGUAAAAAAAAUCCCAUCACGAAAUCUUG
Molecule: unclassified non-coding RNA, 380 nt
Filed under: Hevea brasiliensis (rubber tree)
Lineage: Eukaryota; Viridiplantae; Streptophyta; Magnoliopsida; Malpighiales; Euphorbiaceae
Source: RNAcentral